This 464-nucleotide ribosomal RNA is filed under the name uncultured bacterium. Its description in RNAcentral is "partial 16S ribosomal RNA". It matches the Rfam family "Bacterial small subunit ribosomal RNA", at positions 339 to 795 of the family's 1533-position model. The record is from RNAcentral.
CUACGGGGCGCUCCAGUGGGGAAUAUUGCGCAAUGGGCGAAAGCCUGACGCAGCAACGCCGUGUGAGGGAUGAAGGCUUUCGGGUCGUAAACCUCUGUCGGAAGGGAAGAACGGGCAUUGGUCUAAUAGGCCUUUGUUUUGACGGUACCUUUAGAGGAAGCACCGGCUAACUCCGUGCCAGCAGCCGCGGUAAUACGGAGGGUGCAAGGUUAUUCGGAAUUACUGGGCGUAAAGCGCACGUAGGCCGUUUUGUAAGUCAGGGGUGAAAUCCCACGGCUCAACCGUGGAACUGCCUUUGAAACUGCAGGACUUGAAUGCUGGAGAGGGUGGCGGAAUUCCUGGUGUAGGAGUGAAAUCCGUAGAUAUCAGGAGGAACACCGGUGGCGAAGGCGGCCACCUGGACAGGUAUUGACGCUGAGGUGCGAAAGUGUGGGGAGCAAACAGGAUUAGAUACCCGGGUAGUC